Molecule: non-coding RNA, 3268 nt
Organism: Picea glauca (white spruce)
Lineage: Eukaryota; Viridiplantae; Streptophyta; Pinopsida; Pinales; Pinaceae
Source: Rfam
ACACCUUAAAUCCUAUGUUUUGACACUUCAAAAUUCUAAAAAUUUAUAUAGAACCCUAAUUUAUGACCAUGCUAUCACCUACAAAAUGGAACAAAUUGACUGAUUCAUUUUGGGAGAUAACAGUCCGGACCCUACCUCACCACGAGGUGUUGUCGAUGAGUUAGGUUGUUUGGGAAUGCAUCCCUAAUCGGGUGGUAAAUUCUGUCCAAGGCUAAAUACGGGCGAGAUAACGAUAGAGAACAAUUACCGUGAGGGAAAGAUGAAAAGGUCUUUGAAAAGAGAGUUAAAGAGUGCUUGAAAUUGCCGGGAGGGAUGCGGAUGGAGGCCAACGAUGUGUCUCGGUCGGAUGUGGAAUGACUCAAGUUGGUCCACCGCUCAACUCAAGGUGCGAACCAACACAUGUCAUUGCAUCGGACCAAGCGUGGGUGGAGUACUGCUUGUUCGUUUUUCGUUGUGGUAGUAGAGGAAAGACGCGUGCACCCCUUGGGGUGGGCCACUAUGAACCUGCAUGCUCGUGGUGUUGGUUGGCGGGCUUUCCAUUUGAACCAUCUUGAAACAUGGACGAAGGAGUCUAACAUGUGUGUGAGUCAGUGGGUUUGUAAACCUACGAGGUGUAAGGAAGAUGACGGGAGAGAUCCACUCUCCAUGGGGUGCAUUGUCAACCGACUUUGAGCUUGUGUGAAAGGUGUGAGUGCGAGCACACCUGUUGGGACCCGAAAGAUUGUGAACUAUGCCCGAGCAGGGUGAAGCCACAGGAAAAUCUAGUGGAGGACCGUGGCGAUACUAACGUGAAAAUCAUUCAUCUAACUUGGCUAUAGGGGUGAAAUACUAAUUGAACCAUCUAGUAGAUGGUUUCCUCCGAAGUUUCCCUCGGGACAAUUGGAGCUCACGUGCGAGUUUUAUCGGGUAAGGAAAAUGAUUAGAGGCAUUGGGGACGUAACACCCUCAACCUAUUCUCAAACUUUAAAUAGGUAAUAUGGUGCGUAUUCUCCAUUGAGUCGUGCCACAUAAUCAAGAGCUCCAAGUGGGCCAUUUUUGGUAAGAAGAACUAGCGAUGCAGGAUGAAUUGAAAUUCGAGUUACGGUGCCAAACUGUGUGCUAACCCAGAUCCCACAAAGGGUGUUGGUUGAUUAAGACAAUAGGAUAGUGGUCAUGGAAGUCUAAAUCUUCUGAGUGUGUAACAACUCACCUGUCGAAUCAACUAUCCCUGAAAAUGGAUGGCGCUAAAGCGCACGACCUAUACUCGACUGUCGGAGCAAUUUCCAGGCUUCAAUGAGUAGGAGGAAGUGGGGGUCAUUGAGAAAUCUUGGGUGUGAGCCUGGGUGGACUGAUCCCUGGUGCAUAUCUUGGUGAUAGUAGAAAAUAUUCAAAUGAGAACUUUGAAGACUGAAGUGGGGAAAGGUUCCAUGUGAAAAACACUUUUACAUGGGUUAGUCGAUCCUGAGAGAUGGGGAAGCCUUGUAUCAAGGGUGCACUCUAUAUGAACAUCGAAAGGGAAUCAGGUUAAUAUUAUCAAACUGGGACAUGGAAACGGAUGACAACGUUAGGAAAUCCAGAGACGUCGUCGGGGGCCCCGGGAAGAGUUAUCUUUUCUUUUUAACAGCUUGCCCACCAUGAAAUUGGAUCAACUGGAGAUAGGGUCCAGUAGAUGGAAGAGAAUUGCACAUCUUGCAAUGUCCAGUGUACCCUCGACAACCCUUGAAAAUAUGGAGGACCGAGUACCAUCCAUGCCCGGUCAUACUCAUAACCGCAUUAGGUCUCCAAGGUGAACAACCUCUGGUCAAUAGAAAAAUGUAGGUAAGGGAAGUCAUCAAAAUGGAUCCAUAACUUUGGGAAAAGGAUUGACUCUGAGGGCUAGGCCUAGGGGUCUAAGUCCUCAACCCAUGGGCUCUCAGCAGUAUGCCUGAGCUAUUAUCGCGGCGAGGGUGGGCAGUCUCAUGUUGAUUGGGCUAUGGAUGUAGAAUGUCCCCUCGCAGGGGAUUUUCCCUAGGAGGCAAACAAUCGACUCAAAACUAGUAUGGACAAGGGGAAUUCGACUGUUUAAUUAAAACAAAGAAUUGUGAUGGUCAGAGUUUAAUGUCAAAGUGAAGAAAUUCAACCAAGCACGGGUAAACGAUGGGAGUAACUAUGACUCUCUUAAGGUAUCCAAAUGCCUCGUCAUCUAAUUAGUGACGUGCAUGAAUGGAUUAAUGAGAUUCCCACUGUCCCUAUCUAUUAUCUAGGGAAACCACAUCCAAGGGAACGGGCUUGGCAGAAUCAGCGAGGAAAGAAGACCCUAUUGAGCUUGACUAUAGUCUGACUUUGUGAAAUGACUUGAGAGGUGUAGAAUAAGUGGGAGCUGUUUUCGACGCAAGUGAAAUACCACUACUUUUAACGUUGUUUUACUUAUUCUGUUGGGUGGAGACGGGGCAUCACCCUUGUUUUUUGCCUUAAGACAUGUUUCGACAGGUCGAUCCGAGUGGAAGACAUUGUUAGGUGGGGAUUUGGCUGGGGUGACACAUCUAUUAAAAUAUAAUGCAGGUGUCCUAAGAUGAGCUCAACGAGAAUCGAAAUGUCGUGUGGAACAAAAGGGUAAAAUCUCAUUUGAUUUUGAUUUUCAAUACAAAUACAAACCAUGAAAGUGUGGCCUAUCGAUCCUUUAGAAUUUUUGAAUUUGAAGCUAGAGGUGUCAGAAAAGUUACCACGGGGAUAACUAGCUUGUGGCAACCAAUCAUUCAUAGCAACAUUGCUUUUUGAUCCUUCGAUGUCGGAUCUUCCUAUCAUUGUGCAGUAGAAUUCACCAAGUGUUGGAUUGUUCACCCACCAAUAGGGAACAUGAGCUAGGUUUAGACCUUCGUGAGAUAGGUUAGGUUCACCCUACUAAUGAACCAUGCCACAAUAGUAAUUCAAAUUAGUACGAGAGGAACCAUUUAUUCACACAAUUGGUCAUCGCACUUGGUUGAAAAUCCAGUGGCGCGAAUCUAUCGUGUGUCAGAUUAUUAAUGAACGCCUCUAAGUCAGAAUCCACGCUAGAAGCGGUGAUUCUCACUCCUUGAAUGUAUCUUGACCCACAAUAGGGGUGUCUCUUCAGCACCCCCAAGGGCCCGUGUCACUUGCGAACCUCAACCGAGAAGCAUCUUGGUCAAGGCAUCUUUGAAGUUCAAUUUCAAAUGGUUGUUGAGAAGAAUCCUUUGCAGAUGACUUAAAUACACGACUGGGUAUUGUAAGUGGCAGAGUGGCCUUGCUUCCAUGAUCCAUUGAGAUUCAUCCCUUCAUCACCUUGAUUCAG